RNAcentral lists this transfer RNA (76 nucleotides) under Oscillospiraceae bacterium. Its description in RNAcentral is "tRNA-Phe". It matches the Rfam family "tRNA". From Rfam's summary of the family: Transfer RNA (tRNA) molecules are approximately 80 nucleotides in length. Their secondary structure includes four short double-helical elements and three loops (D, anti-codon, and T loops). Lineage: Bacteria; Bacillati; Bacillota; Clostridia; Eubacteriales; Oscillospiraceae. The record is from RNAcentral.
GCCCAGAUAGCUCAGUUGGUAGAGCAGGGGACUGAAAAUCCCCGUGUCGGCGGUUCGAUUCCGUCUCUGGGCACCA